RNAcentral lists this ribosomal RNA (533 nucleotides) under Streptococcus sp. W18. RNAcentral's name for it is "bacterial SSU rRNA". It matches the Rfam family "Bacterial small subunit ribosomal RNA", at positions 8 to 524 of the family's 1533-position model. Lineage: Bacteria; Bacillati; Bacillota; Bacilli; Lactobacillales; Streptococcaceae. RNAcentral also lists the same sequence under 3 other names. The record is from RNAcentral.
AGAGUUUGAUCCUGGCUCAGGACGAACGCUGGCGGCGUGCCUAAUACAUGCAAGUAGAACGCUGAAGACUUUAGCUUGCUAGAGUUGGAAGAGUUGCGAACGGGUGAGUAACGCGUAGGUAACCUGCCUACUAGCGGGGGAUAACUAUUGGAAACGAUAGCUAAUACCGCAUAACAGUGUUUAACACAUGUUAGAUGCUUGAAAGAUGCAAUUGCAUCACUAGUAGAUGGACCUGCGUUGUAUUAGCUAGUUGGUGGGGUAACGGCCUACCAAGGCGACGAUACAUAGCCGACCUGAGAGGGUGAUCGGCCACACUGGGACUGAGACACGGCCCAGACUCUACGGGAGGCAGCAGUAGGGAAUCUUCGGCAAUGGGGGCAACCCUGACCGAGCAACGCCGCGUGAGUGAAGAAGGUUUUCGGAUCGUAAAGCUCUGUUGUAAGAGAAGAACGUGUGUGAGAGUGGAAAGUUCACACAGUGACGGUAACUUACCAGAAAGGGACGGCUAACUACGUGCCAGCAGCCGCGGUAAU